GCAGUGGUGGUGUAGUGGUGAGCAUCGCUGCCUUCUACGCAGUUGAUCUGGGUUCGAUUCCCGGCCAUCGCA
This is a non-coding RNA of Chiloscyllium plagiosum (whitespotted bambooshark), 72 nucleotides long. The record is from the annotation of a RefSeq genome assembly. NCBI's taxonomy places the organism in Eukaryota, Metazoa, Chordata, Chondrichthyes, Orectolobiformes, Hemiscylliidae.